GGAACCAGGAAGUCUCAGGGUGACAGCGUGGACGCUGACGGAGCUAUGGGGAGAGACAGGCACCCAGGGAAGACUCCCAUCUCUGGGAGAAGGCUUGUACUCUCAAACCGGACAGUUUUCCCCUGAAGAAGCCCAUUCUAUGGGAGAAACAUGUUGGGAAACCCAUCCUACAAUGCUGUCCUGUAAAAAUUUGUGAUAUUUGUACUUGCCCUAUGUUACAUUUUACUAUAUAUUUUUUGUUUUGUUCUUCAAAUAAAAAGUAAAUUAUUUUUAACCA
Molecule: long non-coding RNA, 277 nt
Organism: Rana temporaria (common frog)
Lineage: Eukaryota; Metazoa; Chordata; Amphibia; Anura; Ranidae
Exons: 2
Source: RefSeq, a predicted model, not a curated record